This 69-nucleotide transfer RNA is filed under the name Ictidomys tridecemlineatus (thirteen-lined ground squirrel). Its description in RNAcentral is "Spermophilus tridecemlineatus (thirteen-lined ground squirrel) tRNA". It matches the Rfam family "tRNA". From Rfam's summary of the family: Transfer RNA (tRNA) molecules are approximately 80 nucleotides in length. Their secondary structure includes four short double-helical elements and three loops (D, anti-codon, and T loops). Lineage: Eukaryota; Metazoa; Chordata; Mammalia; Rodentia; Sciuridae. The record is from Rfam by way of RNAcentral.
GGGGUUGUGGCUCAGUGGUAGAGUGCUUGCCUAGCAUGCAUGAGGCACUAGGAUCGAUCCCCGGCACCA